CACGUAGUUAGCCGGUGCUUAUUCUUUAGGUACCGUCAUCACUAAUUUUUAUUAAAAACUAGCUUUUCUUCCCUAACAAAAGUACUUUACAACCCUAAGGCCUUCUUCAUACACGCGGCAUGGCUGGAUCAGGGUUUCCCCCAUUGUCCAAAAUUCCCCACUGCUGCCUCCCGUAGGAGUCUGGGCCGUGUCUCAGUCCCAGUGUGGCGGAUCGUCCUCUCAGACCCGCUACGGAUCAUUGCCUUGGUGAGCCAUUACCCCACCAACUAGCUAAUCCGACAUCGGCCGAUCAAAUAGCGUAAGGCCUUAUUUAGGUCCCCUACUUUCCUCCUUAGAGCUUACGCGGUAUUAGCCAAACUUUCGUUUGGUUAUCCCCCACUACUUGGCACGUUCCGAUGCUAUACUCACCCGUUCGCCACUCGCCGACAGAGAAGCAAGCUUCUCCUCGCUGCCGUUCGACUUGCAUGUGUAAAGCAUGCCGCCAGCGUUCAAUCUGAGCCAGGAUCAAACUCU
This 513-nucleotide ribosomal RNA is filed under the name uncultured Neisseriaceae bacterium. Its description in RNAcentral is "partial 16S ribosomal RNA". Lineage: Bacteria; Pseudomonadati; Pseudomonadota; Betaproteobacteria; Neisseriales; Neisseriaceae. The record is from RNAcentral.